This 74-nucleotide transfer RNA is filed under the name Cordylochernes scorpioides. RNAcentral's name for it is "tRNA-Ile". Lineage: Eukaryota; Metazoa; Arthropoda; Arachnida; Pseudoscorpiones; Chernetidae. The record is from RNAcentral.
UGGUCCAUGAAGGGAUCGAACCCACGACCUUCGCAUUAUCAGCACGAUGCUCUAACCAACUGAGCUAAUGGGCC